AUGGGCGCCACCGUGCUCACCGGUGGUGUCAAUUUGGCGGUCAACUACAGCUGCGUCACCGCUUCCGCGCUCUGCCUUUUCAGGCAUGGCAAUCUCAAGGCGGUGGGUCUUGCUUCCGAGUAUAAUUUACCUCUUCGUGUGUUGUGCGCCUUUUUGAACUGCGUGGCCCGCGACACCCAGAAGCGCGUCGUCGGCGCGCUCCUCGGCACCUCCUCCCGCGGCGUCGUCGACAUCACCAACUCCUACGCUGUGCGAAUUGAGGAGGAUGACAAGGACCUGAGAAUUUGGUUCCUCGACAAAAAGAACCAUGCUGUUUUAGAAUUCUCAUCAGGUAUGCUGGACUUGCCGUGUGCGGUUUAUUUCUGCUGUGUACUGAUGAGUUGUUUGGGAUGCAGCCAAGGAGCAUGUUGUUGGCUGCCUGAACUCUUCGACCGCGCGCAAGGGUUCAUCCUGCCAUCGUCCACCCUGCCUGCAUAUGCAGGAGCCGUAGCCCAGCAUCACCCUGUGCAGCUGCGGCACGGGGCGAUAGCCUCGGCACAGCUGCACGGCCUCAACAUCCCCGUUGGUGUUGCCUGCUGUCCCUGGAUCCAGGAAAGACAGUGGGGGCGAUUGGCGACUUGGUGGUGCGGCUGCGGACAACAGAUUAAGGAGGCAAAGAAGACAUGCGACAAAGAGAGUCUUAAGGGAGAAGAUAUAGGAAGAAGUUUUGCGCUCGACAAUUUCAUGUUAAUAGAAGCUUUCCGCUCGUGGCCUUCAUCAUCCUUCCUUGGUGCGGAACUGGGUAACCACCCUAGCCAAGUAUGGAGCGCGAUCAUUGAAGGGAAGGAUGUGAUGAAGGAUGAGAUGAUGCGCCCAUACGAUUGCUUAAUGGAUAACCCCCAUGCCCGCGUGUCUGGACUUAUUGACACAACAACGACGACAUGGAUCGGGUCAAUCAAACCUUUCUCUCGAUUGAUACACCUGCUAUACUGGGGAUCCCUCUUUGUACAAGGAACAUCUCUGAUAUUUGGCCUUGGAAUUUUGAAAAGAACGGAAUUUUUUUUCGUGCGGUCGGCCUAUGCUAUGUUGAUUGCAACGAGGAAACGACGCGAGGCGUGGCCGGAAGGCGCUGUUGGAUCUUUAAAUUCAGAUGAUGACACCUAUGUUAGUACAACCUCUCCAAGAGUAAUUCGACCAAAAGCACCCCCUCAAGGUUUUGCAAAAACUCGUGUGGAUGCAGCUAUAGAAAGAAAUCAGAGGGGAGGAACGGCGGCCGCGGUCUGUCAUGAUGAACGGGGUGAAUAUAUUGGCAGCUCGGCGCUGGUCAUCUCAGGCAUGCAUGACGUUGCAACUCUCGAGGCGAUCGCUUGUCGUGAGGCUCUCUCACUAACUGAAGAUCUCCUUCAAAACUUCGUUAUUGCCAUGUGA
RNAcentral lists this ribosomal RNA (1407 nucleotides) under Triticum aestivum (bread wheat). Its description in RNAcentral is "partial small subunit ribosomal RNA". The record is from RNAcentral. Lineage: Eukaryota; Viridiplantae; Streptophyta; Magnoliopsida; Poales; Poaceae.